ACCACAUUGGCCAAGCAAUUUUAUCUUAAGUAAACUAACUCUGCUUUGAUUCAUGGAUUGGUUUUGCUAUUAGCAGUAGUGGUUCCUUCUUUCAGCAUGUUAUCCAUUCAAUAUCUAUUUUACCUGUGUGAAUCCUUUGUUUCAGACCCGAAAUGUUUCCUCAAAAUGAAUAGUUUGUGCCAUGUCAAUCAUUGCUGCUAUCCUCUGAAUAAUUCAUGAUUGAUCUGUUAUUCAAUGCCAUUUAGUGGGCAUGUGUCAGCUUAUAAGUUUACAAAUACAUGAAACAUUUCUCCUCUUGUUAUUGUACUUAGCUUUCCACUGAUGACAGGAAGAAGAAGGCCGUUCACAAGACCACGACCACUGAUGACAAGAGGCUUCAAAGGACCUUGAAAAGGGUAGGAGCAAACACCAUUCUUUGUAUCGAAGAGCUCAGCAUUGUCAAGGAUGACGUAGUUAUCCAAUUUCAGAAUCCAAAAGUGCAAGCAUGCAUCACUUCAAACACAUGUGUUGUCACUUAUCAGUGGAACACCACGGACAAAAAGAAGCAAACAUAAGGAAAUGAACCAUGAAGCCGGCGAUCCGCGUCAACGGGAUGUUUUAGCUUUCGUUUUGUAUAACUGAUGUCUCAUACUUGCGUCUUUUUGUUGUCCUUCUGUAAACCUGAUGUAUGGUGUCUUGUCUUGGUGCUUAGAACAGACUGAACUGUAUGUAUGUGACAAUUAGUUAAUGGAAUAAAAAUG
This is a long non-coding RNA of Triticum aestivum (bread wheat), 740 nucleotides long. RefSeq lists it as uncharacterized. The transcript is spliced from 3 exons. The record is from RefSeq and is a predicted model, not a curated record. Lineage: Eukaryota; Viridiplantae; Streptophyta; Magnoliopsida; Poales; Poaceae.